GUGGGGAAUAUUGGACAAUGGGCGAAAGCCUGAUCCAGCCAUGCCGCGUGUGUGAAGAAGGUCUUCGGAUUGUAAAGCACUUUAAGUUGGGAGGAAGGGCAUUAACCUAAUACGUUAGUGUUUUGACGUUACCAACAGAAUAAGCACCGGCUAACUUCGUGCCAGCAGCCGCGGUAAUACGAAGGGUGCAAGCGUUAAUCGGAAUUACUGGGCGUAAAGCGCGCGUAGGUGGUUCAGCAAGUUGGAGGUGAAAUCCCCGGGCUCAACCUGGGAACUGCCUCCAAAACUACUGAGCUAGAGUACGGUAGAGGGUAGUGGAAUUUCCUGUGUAGCGGUGAAAUGCGUAGAUAUAGGAAGGAACACCAGUGGCGAAGGCGACUACCUGGACUGAUACUGACACUGAGGUGCGAAAGCGUGGGGAGCAAACAGGAUUAGAAACCCCUGUAGUCC
This 450-nucleotide ribosomal RNA is filed under the name uncultured bacterium. RNAcentral describes it as "partial 16S ribosomal RNA". It matches the Rfam family "Bacterial small subunit ribosomal RNA", at positions 354 to 796 of the family's 1533-position model. The record is from RNAcentral.